GCGCACAUAAAGUCACUUUAUGGGUAGUGUUGGUACGUUGAUAGGGAACGGCAAGCAACCUAUGCUCUAAGGCUAAAUUAGUUAGCAGUUUACCUGUAUUUUGAGACUAAAUUGAUGUUGUACGACUAAUGAAUUGGUAGGUACGUUAAUAUCUUAUAUAUAAUAUAUUGUUGGUCGCGCUAAAAAUUAUAUUUUGGGUUAAUUUCAAUUUAGUAUCCUGAACUAUUACCGUUAAGGUACGUUUGCUCAUGUACUCUCAAUUUUAACGGUUACAUACCUUAAGCUUUUCAAUUUUGUGCAAUUUGGUUCCGGC
This 313-nucleotide long non-coding RNA is filed under the name Prunus persica (peach). RNAcentral's name for it is "long non-coding RNA (PPER_LNC007584)". The record is from RNAcentral. Lineage: Eukaryota; Viridiplantae; Streptophyta; Magnoliopsida; Rosales; Rosaceae.